GAUGAAGAACGUAGCGAAAUGCGAUACGUAAUGUGAAUUGCAGAAUUCAGUGAAUCAUCGAAUCUUUGAACGCAUAUUGCGCUCUCUGGUAUUCCGGAGAGCAUGCUUGUUUGAGUAUCAGUAAACACCUCAACUUCCAUUUCUUUUUUGAAAUGGGAGUUGGACUUGAGUGAUCCCAACGCUUUUCCUCACCGAAAAGUGGCGGGUUACUUGAAAUGCAGGUGCAGCUGGACUUUUCUCUGAGCUAUAAGCAUAUCUAUUUAGUCUGCCUAAAAAACAGAUUAUUACCUUUGCUGCAGCUAACAUAAAGGAGAUUAGUUCUUGUGCUGACUGAUGCAGGAUUCACAAAGACAGGCUUCGGCCGACUUUGUAAACUCGAUCUCAAAUCAAGUAAGACUACCCGCUGAACUUAAGCAUAUCAAUAAGCGGAGGA
RNAcentral lists this unclassified non-coding RNA (433 nucleotides) under soil metagenome. Its description in RNAcentral is "partial contains 5.8S ribosomal RNA, internal transcribed spacer 2, and large subunit ribosomal RNA". The stretch from base 1 to 120 matches the Rfam family "5.8S ribosomal RNA", at positions 35 to 154 of the family's 154-position model. The record is from RNAcentral.